Molecule: microRNA, 20 nt
Filed under: Gallus gallus (chicken)
Lineage: Eukaryota; Metazoa; Chordata; Aves; Galliformes; Phasianidae
Description: gga-miR-12256-5p
Source: miRBase by way of RNAcentral
AGGGGGUGUGGGGAGCAUGG